This 397-nucleotide ribosomal RNA is filed under the name uncultured bacterium. RNAcentral describes it as "partial 16S ribosomal RNA". It matches the Rfam family "Bacterial small subunit ribosomal RNA", at positions 523 to 918 of the family's 1533-position model. The record is from RNAcentral.
AUACGUAGGGGGCGAGCGUUGUCCGGAAUGAUUGGGCGUAAAGGGCGCGUAGGCGGCCCGGUAAGUCUGGAGUGAAAGUCCUGUUUUUAAGAUGGGAAUUGCUUUGGAUACUGUCGGGCUUGAGUGCAGGAGAGGUAAGUGGAAUUCCCAGUGUAGCGGUGAAAUGCGUAGAGAUUGGGAGGAACACCAGUGGCGAAGGCGACUUACUGGACUGUAACUGACGCUGAGGCGCGAAAGUGUGGGGAGCAAACAGGAUUAGAUACCCUGGUAGUCCACACUGUAAACGAUGAAUGCUAGGUGUAGGGGGUAUCGACCCCUUCUGUGCCGCAGUCAACAUAAUAAGCAUUCCGCCUGGGGAGUACGGCCGCAAGGUUGAAACUCAAAGGAAUUGGCGGGG